RNAcentral lists this ribosomal RNA (752 nucleotides) under uncultured beta proteobacterium. Its description in RNAcentral is "bacterial SSU rRNA". It matches the Rfam family "Bacterial small subunit ribosomal RNA", at positions 28 to 776 of the family's 1533-position model. Lineage: Bacteria; Pseudomonadati; Pseudomonadota; Betaproteobacteria. The record is from RNAcentral.
AUUGAACGCUGGCGGCAUGCCUUACACAUGCAAGUCGAACGGUAACAGGUCUUCGGAUGCUGACGAGUGGCGAACGGGUGAGUAAUACAUCGGAACGUGCCCGAGAGUGGGGGAUAACGAAGCGAAAGCUUUGCUAAUACCGCAUACGAUCUCAGGAUGAAAGCAGGGGACCGCGAGGCCUUGCGCUCACGGAGCGGCCGAUGGCAGAUUAGGUAGUUGGUGGGAUAAAAGCUUACCAAGCCGACGAUCUGUAGCUGGUCUGAGAGGACGACCAGCCACACUGGGACUGAGACACGGCCCAGACUCCUACGGGAGGCAGCAGUGGGGAAUUUUGGACAAUGGGCGCAAGCCUGAUCCAGCCAUGCCGCGUGCAGGAUGAAGGCCUUCGGGUUGUAAACUGCUUUUGUACGGAACGAAAAGACUCUGGUUAAUACCUGGGGUCCAUGACGGUACCGUAAGAAUAAGCACCGGCUAACUACGUGCCAGCAGCCGCGGUAAUACGUAGGGUGCGAGCGUUAAUCGGAAUUACUGGGCGUAAAGCGUGCGCAGGCGGUUAUGUAAGACAGAUGUGAAAUCCCCGGGCUCAACCUGGGAACUGCAUUUGUGACUGCGUAGCUAGAGUACGGCAGAGGGGGAUGGAAUUCCGCGUGUAGCAGUGAAAUGCGUAGAUAUGCGGAGGAACACCGAUGGCGAAGGCAAUCCCCUGGGCCUGUACUGACGCUCAUGCACGAAAAGCGUGGGGAGCAAACAGG